Long non-coding RNA from Priapulus caudatus, 594 nucleotides. RefSeq lists it as uncharacterized. The record is from RefSeq and is a predicted model, not a curated record. The transcript is spliced from 2 exons. NCBI's taxonomy places the organism in Eukaryota, Metazoa, Priapulida, Priapulimorpha, Priapulimorphida, Priapulidae.
CUUUGUUCGAGUGUGCUAUAUUUGUACGUGUUCGACAGGGCGAUAAGGAAAAGGCUGCUGGGCACAAGGUGAUAUCAUUAAUGGACCGAUCAAAGUCAGACUCGAUGCCCAGUGACCAGAUCGGGUUCAUUACAUUCGUUUGCCUGCCAGGCUUCAGUACAUUGUGCGAGCUCUUCCCAAACACUCUGCCUUUAAUCGAUGGACUCAAUGAGAACCUCCAUGCGUGGAACAUAGUUAAGAGUGGGCAGCAGCCUCAGCUCUGGAAUGUUGCUGCCUCCCACUGCAAAUCCCAGUUCCCGGCAAAAGAAGAUGCAUCAACUAGCACAGCCACUUCAAAAAAAGACAAUUUAUAAAUUUCUCUACUCCAUGGAAGUUACUUGUUAGUGACAAGUACUCCAACGCCUAGAGUGCAUAUUAUAUUCAACGUUGUUAUUGUUUGUUAAGCGAUGUACGUAGUGGCUUCUACAUUUUCCCUUGCACAUCGCACAAGACCUCAUCAAAUCGGAACUGAUCUCCGUGUAUGUUUUGUUUGCUCAUUACUUUUAUACCUAGCUGUUCAUCAAUGCCUGUUACAUUAAAUCUGUUAUGUUUAAA